This is a non-coding RNA of Puma concolor (puma), 679 nucleotides long. NCBI's taxonomy places the organism in Eukaryota, Metazoa, Chordata, Mammalia, Carnivora, Felidae. The record is from RefSeq and is a predicted model, not a curated record.
CUCCAGCGGUGGAUGAGGGUGCUCUGGUCCCAUGCCCUCUUACGUGAAGUGUUACCAAACUUGCUGACAUUUGCCAACCUGGAAGGAAAGACACCGUGUAAUGAUUCACCAACAUGCUGUGCAGGCCCAGCCACCAGCGCCAGCGCGGAGGACAAAGGGAAGCCAGCUGGGCUGUGGUUGGCAGAGCAGACUUCUUGAAAGAGGAAGAGCUCAAGCAGACAGUGGGUGUGGAAAAGAGGAGGAGAGUGAGGCCCGGAGAGGCUCCGGGGCUCAAAGCCAGGUGCGUCUGACUCCCACAUCACCGAUGGGAACGACUGCGUGUGACGGAGGCUCCUGCCUAUCUGAGCUCGUCAGUGGCUAUGGGGCCACGUCGAAGCCGUGCCCUUUCCUGGCUGGGCCCUCUGUCCUUCUCUGACCCUCAGCAUCGUCUGGUCUCAGCUGAGGGUUUGGGCACGCGCCAGCCACCUCCCCAUCGCCCUGCCCAGUCCCUGCGACCCUCUUCCUUCUGCCAGGUCACACUUCCCUGGCUCCUUCCUGCCCCUGACCACUUGCCUGGCCCCCGGGGGGCUGUGUUCCCUGGACUCGUUUUCCCACCAGUUCAAUCAGUCAACAGCAGGGGGCGCCCGGGUGGCGCCGUCGGUUAAGCGUCCGACUUCAGCCAGGUCACGAUCUCGCGGUC